CACGCCGUAAACGCUGAUUACUAGGUGUAGGGGGUAUAGACUCCCUCUGUGCCGCAGUUAACGCAUUAAGUAAUCCACCUGGGGAGUACGGCCGCAAGGUUAAAACUCAAAGGAAUUGACGGGGGCCCGCACAAGCAGUGGAGUAUGUGGUUUAAUUCGAAGCAACGCGAAGAACCUUACCAGGGCUUGACAUCCUGCGAAUUCUGUGGAAACACAGGAGUGCCCUUCGGGGAGCGCAGAGACAGGUGG
RNAcentral lists this ribosomal RNA (249 nucleotides) under uncultured Syntrophaceticus sp. RNAcentral's name for it is "partial 16S ribosomal RNA". It matches the Rfam family "Bacterial small subunit ribosomal RNA", at positions 796 to 1041 of the family's 1533-position model. Lineage: Bacteria; Bacillati; Bacillota; Clostridia; Thermoanaerobacterales; Thermoanaerobacterales Family III. Incertae Sedis. The record is from RNAcentral.